This 227-nucleotide unclassified non-coding RNA is filed under the name Glomeraceae sp. RNAcentral's name for it is "partial contains 5.8S ribosomal RNA and internal transcribed spacer 2". The stretch from base 1 to 71 matches the Rfam family "5.8S ribosomal RNA", at positions 84 to 154 of the family's 154-position model. The record is from RNAcentral. Lineage: Eukaryota; Fungi; Glomeromycota; Glomeromycetes; Glomerales; Glomeraceae.
GUGAAUCAUCGAAUUUUUGAACGCAAAUUGCACUCCCUGGUAUUCCGGGGAGUAUGCCUGUUUGAGGGUCGUUAGAAGAAAAAUCGACGCAUCGCUCUUUUUUUUGAGGGUGAUCGCGUCGUAAUAGAGCCGACUUUCAAAUGUUAAUUCAUAUCAAUGUGGCUUCAAAUUCAUCCAUCCGGUACGAUUAAAGCGUAUUAAUGACCAAUAUUGAUUAAGACCGCGCG